Molecule: ribosomal RNA, 448 nt
Filed under: uncultured bacterium
Lineage: Bacteria
Description: partial 16S ribosomal RNA
Rfam family: Bacterial small subunit ribosomal RNA
Source: RNAcentral
UCCAGACUCCUACGGGAGGCAGCAGUGGGGGAUAUUGCACAAUGGGGGGAACCCUGAUGCAGCGAUGCCGCGUGGGUGAAGGAGUGCUUCGGCAUGUAAAGCCCUAUCGGCAGGGAAGAAGCAAGACGGUACCUGACUAAGAAGCCCCGGCUAACUACGUGCCAGCAGCCGCGGUAAUACGUAGGGGGCGAGCGUUAUCCGGAUUCACUGGGUGUAAAGGGAGCGUAGACGGCCAAGCAAGCCAGGGGUGAAAGCCCGGGGCCCAACCCCGGGACUGCCCUUGGAACUGCACGGCUGGAGUGCGGGAGGGGCAGGCGGAAUUCCUAGUGUAGCGGUGAAAUGCGUAGAUAUUAGGAGGAACACCGGUGGCGAAGGCGGCCUGCUGGACUGCGACUGACGUUGAGGCCCGAAAGCGUGGGGAGCAAACAGGAUUAGAUACCCGUGUAAA